UGCANGUCGAGGGGUAUAGUUCUUCGGAGCUAGAGACCGGCGCACGGGUGCGUAACGCGUAUGCAAUCUACCUUUUACAGGGGGAUAGCCCAGAGAAAUUUGGAUUAAUACCUCAUAGUAUGUGAGAAUCGCAUGGUUUUCACAUUAAAGUUCCAACGGUAAAAGAUGAGCAUGCGUCCCAUUAGCUAGAUGGUAAGGUAACGGCUUACCAUGGCGACGAUGGGUAGGGGUCCUGAGAGGGAGAUCCCCCACACUGGUACUGAGACANGGNACCAGACUNNUACGGGAGGCAGCAGUGAGGAAUAUUGGACAAUGGGCGCAAGCCUGAUCCAGCCAUGCCGCGUGCAGGAUGACGGUCCUAUGGAUUGUAAACUGCUUUUGUACAGGAAGAAACACUCCCUCGUGAGGGAGCUUGACGGUACUGUAAGAAUAAGGAUCGGCUAACUCCGUGCCAGCAGCCGCGGUAAUACNGGAGGAUCCAAGCGUUAUCCGGAAUCAUUGGGUUUNAAGGGGUCCGUAGGCGGNUUAAUAAGUCAGUGGUGAAAGCCCAUCGCUCAACGGUGGAACGGCCAUUGAUACUGNUNAACUUGNAUUAUUAGGAAGUAACUAGAAUAUGUAGUGUANCGGUGAAAUGCUUAAAGAUUAAUGGNAUACCNAUUGCGA
Molecule: ribosomal RNA, 663 nt
Filed under: uncultured Flavobacteriales bacterium
Lineage: Bacteria; Pseudomonadati; Bacteroidota; Flavobacteriia; Flavobacteriales
Description: partial 16S ribosomal RNA
Rfam family: Bacterial small subunit ribosomal RNA
Source: RNAcentral